This 253-nucleotide ribosomal RNA is filed under the name uncultured bacterium. Its description in RNAcentral is "partial 16S ribosomal RNA". It matches the Rfam family "Bacterial small subunit ribosomal RNA", at positions 524 to 776 of the family's 1533-position model. The record is from RNAcentral.
GACGAACCGUGCGAACGUUGUUCGGAAUCACUGGGCUUAAAGGGCGCGUAGGCGGGUGGGCAAGUCUGGGGUGAAAUCUUUCGGCUCAACCGGAAAACAGCCUUGGAUACUGCUUGUCUUGAGGGAGGUAGGGGCAGAUGGAACUUCGGGUGGAGCGGUGAAAUGCGUAGAUAUCCGAAGGAACGCCGGUGGCGAAAGCGAUCUGCUGGACCUCUUCUGACGCUGAGGCGCGAAAGCCAGGGGAGCGAACGGG